RNAcentral lists this ribosomal RNA (478 nucleotides) under uncultured bacterium. RNAcentral's name for it is "partial 16S ribosomal RNA". It matches the Rfam family "Bacterial small subunit ribosomal RNA", at positions 28 to 523 of the family's 1533-position model. The record is from RNAcentral.
GACGAACGCUGGCGGCGUGCUUAACACAUGCAAGUCGAACGGUAAGGCCCUUCGGGGUACACGAGUGGCGAACGGGUGAGUAACACGUGGGUGAUCUGCCCUGCACUUCGGGAUAAGCCUGGGAAACUGGGUCUAGUACCGGAUAGGACUCCUGCCUGCAUGGGUGGGGGUGGAAAGCUUUUGUGGUGUGGGAUGGGCCCGCGGCCUAUCAGCUUGUUGGGGGGGUGAUGGCCUACCAAGGCGACGACGGGUAGCCGGCCUGAGAGGGUGACCGGCCACACUGGGACUGAGAUACGGCCCAGACUCCUACGGGAGGCAGCAGUGGGGAAUAUUGCCCAAUGGGCGCAAGCCUGAUGCAGCGACGCCGCGUGAGGGAUGACGGCCUUCGGGUUGUAAACCUCUUUCAGCACAGACGAAGCGCAAGUGACGGUAUGUGCAGAAGAAGGACCGGCCAACUACGUGCCAGCCGCCGCCGUAA